CGUACCUUUUAUUUUCAAGUCUGUGGCGUCAAGUGUCAAUCAACAUAAUAAUAAAUACCUACUCGGAUUUUUAAAUAAACAAAGUAAACUGACUUAUUUAGUCACAGAGUACAUUAUUAUGACUGGUAUUUAGUUCAGUUUAUUUACGAGAUUCUGUCAAAACCAAAACGAGAAGCUUUGUUUGUUUUCGUUUUUAAUUGUUGACUAAUAUUUUAAAAAUAAGUGCUAAAUAUGGUUUAUGGAUGGACUGUGAGGUUAUGUAGAAUCUACAGGCAGAAAAUAAGCUUUAUAUUAUGACUUAUUGCUUACGUUCGCAAUAACAAAUUUGUUCAAGAGAGGAGAAGAAUUAAUCCAUCCCAAAUGUAAAUAAUAAUACGAUUCUCCACAAAAACAUAGGUAGUAGACACAAGAAAGGGAUUUCUACAUUUGCUACUAAGAAGGAUAUGGGAUCAUGAAGGAUUUCAUCUGUUUUAAUACCAGUAAAAUGGAAUGAGCGCCGUGGCCGUGACUGUGUUUGGUACAUAAAGAAUGACAAACAUUCAACUUGAAAUUAUGAGUGCAUUACGGGCAAGGGCACAAUAAGUUGCCCUUUGACUAAUAACUUGUACUUAAUUUUAAGGAACACGAAAAUGGAUGGCUAGAAUAGGUAUAAUCGCAUACAUAGUAUUUAUUUCUAGUCUGUUGUAUAAAUAAUCAAAGACUACAAAAUAUAAUGAACUAUGUCUUUAUUAUUAAUUCUACAGUUUACAGUGUAGUGUGUAAUCUAUUGUAUGUGUGCGUCUAGAAUAUAUAGUCCUGUUGUUCUACAGUUUAAGCAGUUCAAUACAAGCUUACAGUCGA
Molecule: long non-coding RNA, 840 nt
Organism: Colias croceus (clouded yellow)
Lineage: Eukaryota; Metazoa; Arthropoda; Insecta; Lepidoptera; Pieridae
Exons: 2
Source: RefSeq, a predicted model, not a curated record